Molecule: ribosomal RNA, 969 nt
Filed under: uncultured bacterium
Lineage: Bacteria
Description: bacterial SSU rRNA
Rfam family: Bacterial small subunit ribosomal RNA
Source: RNAcentral
GGCAGCGCGGGGCAACCUGGCGGCGAGUGGCGAACGGGUGAGUAAUAUAUCGGAACGUGCCCUGGAGUGGGGGAUAACGCAGCGAAAGUUGCGCUAAUACCGCAUACGAUCUAAGGAUGAAAGCGGGGGAUUCGCAAGAACCUCGUGCUCCUGGAGCGGCCGAUAUCUGAUUAGCUAGUUGGUGGGGUAAAGGCCUACCAAGGCAUCGAUCAGUAGCUGGUCUGAGAGGACGACCAGCCACACUGGAACUGAGACACGGUCCAGACUCCUACGGGAGGCAGCAGUGGGGAAUUUUGGACAAUGGGCGAAAGCCUGAUCCAGCAAUGCCGCGUGAGUGAAGAAGGCCUUCGGGUUGUAAAGCUCUUUUGUCAGGGAAGAAACGGUGAAGGCUAAUAUCCUUUGCUAAUGACGGUACCUGAAGAAUAAGCACCGGCUAACUACGUGCCAGCAGCCGCGGUAAUACGUAGGGUGCAAGCGUUAAUCGGAAUUACUGGGCGUAAAGCGUGCGCAGGCGGUUUUGUAAGUCUGUCGUGAAAUCCCCGGGCUCAACCUGGGAAUUGCGAUGGAGACUGCAAGGCUAGAAUCUGGCAGAGGGGGGUAGAAUUCCACGUGUAGCAGUGAAAUGCGUAGAGAUGUGGAGGAACACCGAUGGCGAAGGCAGCCCCCUGGGUCAAGAUUGACGCUCAUGCACGAAAGCGUGGGGAGCAAACAGGAUUAGAUACCCUGGUAGUCCACGCCCUAAACGAUGUCUACUAGUUGUCGGGUUUUAAUUAACUUGGUAACGCAGCUAACGCGUGAAGUAGACCGCCUGGGGAGUACGGUCGCAAGAUUAAAACUCAAAGGAAUUGACGGGGACCCGCACAAGCGGUGGNUGAUGUGGAUUAAUUCGAUGCAACGCGAAAAACCUUACCUACCCUUGACAUGUACGGAAGCCACGAGANAUCGAGGNGUGCUCGAAAGANAGCCGUA